CCACCUAGCUGCCUACUACCAAGAUCACUUCAUCAUUACCACAUCAUUACCAAACACUUUGCUAGAUAAGCUACAGCAGCCUAGAGAAUCAGAAAAAAGGUUAACAUAUUGUAUAGACGAGAACAUUGAGAAACACUAAACAGGUCCAUAAAUUUGAUAAAAUGGAAUCCCUUCCAUUGAACCAGAAAAACCCACUUGAAGUUUGUUGCUCAGCCAUUAUCCGCCACUACUAGAAAUCUCCAAGACGGGAGUUAAAAGCAGUCAUUACUAGUGCUCAUCAUCACCAGCAGCUUUGGCCUCCUCGCCCUUGAAACCAUCAUCGCCUCCAUCCUCCGGUAAGUCAGAAGUCCAAAGAGUGAGAUU
RNAcentral lists this unclassified non-coding RNA (363 nucleotides) under Hevea brasiliensis (rubber tree). The record is from RNAcentral. Lineage: Eukaryota; Viridiplantae; Streptophyta; Magnoliopsida; Malpighiales; Euphorbiaceae.